UUAGACGAGAAGACCCUGUGGAGCUUUAGACGCCAGGAUAGCUCAUGUUAAGACCCCCUAAAUAAAGGCCUGAACUUAGUGACCCCCUAUUCUAAUGUCUUCGGUUGGGGCGACCAUGAGGAACAAAAACCCCUCACGUGGAAUGGGAGUACCAAAGCCCACUAUUAUUUUUUCCUACACUCCUACAACUAAGAGCCACAGCUCAAUUUAACAGAAAUUCUGACCAACAAUGAUCCGGCAAUGCUGAUCAACGGACCAAGUUACCCUAGGGAUAACAGCGCAAUCCCCUUUUAGAGCCCAUAUCGACAAGGGGGUUUACGACCUCGAUGUUGGAUCAGGACAUAAAG
This 347-nucleotide ribosomal RNA is filed under the name Lates niloticus (Nile perch). RNAcentral describes it as "partial 16S ribosomal RNA". It matches the Rfam family "Bacterial large subunit ribosomal RNA", at positions 2076 to 2549 of the family's 2925-position model. The record is from RNAcentral. Lineage: Eukaryota; Metazoa; Chordata; Actinopteri; Centropomidae.